GUACUGCUGAAGAGUGCCAAAAAUAGGACGAAACAGAUGUCCAUUAC
RNAcentral lists this non-coding RNA (47 nucleotides) under Trichobilharzia regenti. Lineage: Eukaryota; Metazoa; Platyhelminthes; Trematoda; Strigeidida; Schistosomatidae. The record is from RNAcentral.